Molecule: long non-coding RNA, 1401 nt
Organism: Ailuropoda melanoleuca (giant panda)
Lineage: Eukaryota; Metazoa; Chordata; Mammalia; Carnivora; Ursidae
Exons: 3
Source: RefSeq, a predicted model, not a curated record
UGUCCUAUCCCAGUCAAUCCCCGCCCUCUGCCCAGAGGUAACCACUCUUCCGACGGCUCCGGGCGUUCUUGUGUUCACACUUCCUCUGUCUCUAAACCAGACAGCCAGCCUGCCACCGAGGCCCGCCAGUUCUGGUUCUCCUCAGGCCCCAUCACCUCUCCUCUGGACAACAGCACCAGGCUCCUCACUGGUCCCCUCCCCGCAGUCACCCCUGCCCCCUGAGCAGCCGGAGCCAGGACAGAACAGAAGACUGGCCUUGGCCUUGACCUCAGCAGAGUCCCCAGAAAACAAGCGGGAUCCAAAAUGGCCUUCAGUGGGACCUUGGCUUCCGAUGGACCCCAGCGCCCUGCAGAGCAGAGACGCGGGUCAUCGGAUUCAGAGUCCACUUUCAGCGAUGGUCUCAUCUCCAGGUCCUCAACUUCCGUAGCUCUGCAAAGACCCUGCGAGGCUUCAUUUCAUUUGUCAACCUGACCGGCCAUGGCCCCCCCCACCCCCCACCCCCGCCGGAUGAAACAUUAUUUCUGGGUGUGUCCAGGAGGGUGUUUCCAAAUGAGAUUAGCAUUUGAAUCAGCAGACCCAGUGACGAAGAAGAUUGCCCUCCCCAGGCUGGGUGGGCAUCAGCCUAUCUGCUCAUCUACCAAGAGUGAAUGGAACAGAGAGCCUCACCAUGGAGCUGGGACAUCGCUUCCCAUGUUCUCCCACCCUUGGACUGGGAUUCACACCAUCAGCUCCCCGGGUUCUCAGGACUUUGGACUCAGACUGAAUUACACCCCUGGCCACCCUGCAUCUCCAGUUGGCAGAUGGCAGCGCGUGCAUGGGACUUCUCGGCCUCUAGAAUUGCAGGAGUGACGAUAUGUGUUUUGUGUCUCUGGAGAAUCCUGACUCAUGCAGACCCUAUUUCCAAGGAAGGCCACAUUCCCAGAUACUGUGGGUUAGGACUUGGACAUAUCUUUUUGGGGGACACUGUUCCGUACACUACAGGCCUGUUACCUGGGUCUUUGGUAGGAAGUGGACUGCAGAGGAUGUGGGCCUCACAGCUGUGUGGUCCUGGGUUCGAUCCCUCUGCUCGUGACCUCUUUACUAUGGUUGUUUCCUCUCCCACAAGUCUCAGGAAUCUGCUCUGACACCUGGAGGUAAGGGACUUAGCCCUCAAUCUUGGUGUGAGACCACUUAUUAGCUAUGUGACUGGGUGAGUUACUCAACUACUCCGUAUCUCAGUUUUCUCAUCUGUAAGGUGGGAAGAAUCAUAGUACCUAUUUCAACUGGUUGUUGAAGAUUGUUAUCAUUUCCCAGGGACACAGUGAACAUUAUGCAAGGGCUGUUUUCUUUCUUUCUUCCUUUUUUCUUUCUUUCUUUCUUUCUUUCUUUCUUUCUUUCUUUCUUUCUUUCUUUUCUUUGUAU